Molecule: ribosomal RNA, 253 nt
Filed under: uncultured bacterium
Lineage: Bacteria
Description: partial 16S ribosomal RNA
Rfam family: Bacterial small subunit ribosomal RNA
Source: RNAcentral
UCCGGAGGGUGCAAUCGUUGUUCGGAAUCACUGGGCGUAAAGCGCGUGUAGGCGGCCUCUUAAGUCUGGUGUGAAAGCCCGGGGCUCACCCCCGGAAGGGCACUGGAUACUGGGAGGCUAGAGUACCGGAGAGGAGGGUGGAAUUCCUGGUGUAGCGGUGAAAUGCGUAGAUAUCAGGAGGAACACCGGUGGCGAAGGCGGCCCGCUGGACGGCUACUGACGCUGAGACGCGAAAGCGUGGGGAGAAAACAGG